Molecule: non-coding RNA, 869 nt
Organism: Python bivittatus (Burmese python)
Lineage: Eukaryota; Metazoa; Chordata; Lepidosauria; Squamata; Pythonidae
Source: RefSeq, a predicted model, not a curated record
UCCACAGAUAUUCCAAUUUGAUUUUGAACUUAUUCUCUCUUAUGGUUGAUGCCAACAUUCCAGACAUCGCUCUUGAACCUGACAAGACAGUCAAAAAAGUUCAAGACAAGUUCCGUCUGGAUCUCUCUGACGAGGAGGCAGUACACUACAUGCAGAGCUUGAUUGAUGAAAGUGUCCAUGCUCUCUUUGCAGCAAUGGUGGAACAGAUCCAUAAGUUUGCUCAGUACUGGAGAAAAUGAGUCCCCACCACAUCUGAAGGCAAGAAUUCAUGCUGCUCUGUCACGCUGCUGAAGAUAACAUCAAAUAAGGAUGUAACUUUGCUAGCUUGGAUAAUCAAUUUAUCAAGAAUUGCCAUUCAAACUAGGUCAAGGGUAUAUGUCCCUCACUCUAGGUAUAUCAGCAACGGUUUGGAAAACAGAGCAAUGCCCUCCAGAGCCAAAAUGAUAAGAAGAAAAUAAAUGUCUUAUGGCUGUUAAAGGACAUCUGUGCACCUAUUAUUGUGGUUUGUUUGGACAAAAAACAUGAAAUGUAGCCUUGCACUUAACUGGUCCCUCUAGAAGAACACACCUAUAGCAAGACAAGUAUUGUCAAAGCUUAUGAACUUGGAACUGAGGUUUGGGGUUAUUUCUAGAACUUGUGCAAAUUGAGUCGGCCCAUACUUUUAGAGUAGGUUACAUCCUACAGACUCCUUUUAGAGAAAGGGAUCCUAUGAACUAUCAGCAGAUCUGGCCUUUAGAGCAAAGCAAAGUGCUGAAAGAUAUCAACCAUGGACGUGAAAGGCCUGACAGGAAAAUGAAUGUUUUCACUUUCUUUAUAAAUAAUAACGUAUGUUGACUGUAUAUGCCAAGUCUAAUAAAAUGCCUUUGAUG